CUGACGCUAAAGCUCGAAGGUGCGGGUAUCGAACAGGAUUAGAUACCCUGGUAGUCCGCACGGUAAACGAUGGAUGCCCGCUGUUUGCGAUACACUGUGAGCGGCCAAGCGAAAGCGUUAAGCAUCCCACCUGGGGAGUACGCCGGCAACGGUGAAACUCAAAGGAAUUGGCGGGGGCCCGCACAAGCGGAGGAACAUGUGGUUUAAUUCGAUGAUACGCGAGGAACCUUACCCGGGCUUGAACUGCCGGUGAGCGAAACAGAGAUGUUGAGGUCCUUCGGGACGCCGGUGGAGGUGCUGCAUGGUUGUCGUCAGCUCGUGCCGUGAGGUGUCGGCUUAAGUGCCAUAACGAGCGCAACCCCUCUCCGUAGUUGCCAUCGGGUGAUGCCGGGCACUCUGCGGACACUGCCACCGUAAGGUGCGAGGAAGGUGGGGAUGACGUCAAAUCAGCACGGCCCUUACGUCCGGGGCUACACACGUGUUACAAUGGGUGGUACAGAGAGCCGGGAGUACGCAAGUGCCCCCUAAUCAUGAAAUCCAUCCUCAGUUCGGACUGGGGUCUGCAACCCGACCCCACGAAGCUGGAUCGCUAGUAAUCGCG
This 601-nucleotide ribosomal RNA is filed under the name uncultured bacterium. RNAcentral's name for it is "bacterial SSU rRNA". It matches the Rfam family "Bacterial small subunit ribosomal RNA", at positions 740 to 1346 of the family's 1533-position model. The record is from RNAcentral.